Molecule: ribosomal RNA, 400 nt
Filed under: uncultured bacterium
Lineage: Bacteria
Description: partial 16S ribosomal RNA
Rfam family: Archaeal small subunit ribosomal RNA
Source: RNAcentral
AUACCAGCACCCCGAGUGGUCGGGACGAUUAUUGGGCCUAAAGCAUCCGUAGCCGGUUCUACAAGUCUUCCGUUAAAUCCACCUGCUUAACAGAUGGGCUGCGGAGGAUACUAUGGAGCUAGGAGGCGGGAGAGGCAAGCGGUACUUAGUGGGUAGGGGUAAAAUCCGUUGAUCCAUUGAAGACCACCAGUGGCGAAGGCGGCUCGCCAGAACGCACUCGACGGUGAGGGAUGAAAGCUGGGGGAGCAAACCGGAUUAGAUACCCGGGUAGUCCCAGCUGUAAACGAUGCAGACUCGGUGAUGAAUAGGCUCCGUGCCUAUUCAGUGCCGCAGGGAAGCCGUUAAGUCUGCCGCCUGGGGAGUACGGUCGCAAGACUGAAACUCAAAUGAAUUGACGGGG